RNAcentral lists this ribosomal RNA (429 nucleotides) under bacterium. RNAcentral's name for it is "partial 16S ribosomal RNA". It matches the Rfam family "Bacterial small subunit ribosomal RNA", at positions 355 to 776 of the family's 1533-position model. The record is from RNAcentral.
UGGGGAAUCUUCCGCAAUGGACGAAAGUCUGACGGAGCAACGCCGCGUGAGUGAUGACGGCCUUCGGGUUGUAAAGCUCUGUUAAUCGGGACGAAUGGUUCUUGUGCGAAUAGUGCGAGGAUUUGACGGUACCGGAAUAGAAAGCCACGGCUAACUACGUGCCAGCAGCCGCGGUAAUACGUAGGUGGCAAGCGUUGUCCGGAAUUAUUGGGCGUAAAGCGCGCGCAGGCGGAUUGGUCAGUCUGUCUUAAAAGUUCGGGGCUUAACCCCGUGAUGGGAUGGAAACUGCCAAUCUAGAGUAUCGGAGAGGAAAGUGGAAUUCCUAGUGUAGCGGAGAAAUGCGUAGAUAUUAGGAAGAACACCAGUGGCGAAGGCGACUUUCUGGACGAAAACUGACGCUGAGGCGCGAAAGCCAGGGGAGCGAACGGG